UCAAACUUGGUCAUUUAGAGGAAGUAAAAGUCGUAACAAGGUAACCGUAGGUGAACCUGCGGUUGGAUCAUUAACAAAUAAUCCAAAAAAAUGUGGCCAGACAGGAGAGUCCGAACAGGUCCUCCCGAUGGCAACAUCCCACACCCUCUGUGAACAUUGAACGUCUAUUGGCGACAGGGGCAGCGAGCCAGCGCGCUCGGUGUCCUCCGCCGACCUUGCACAGCCUCCCCCGGCUUCCGGGCGGCGGGUCUUUUGCGAAGGCUCGGAGGUGGGCGAUUUUGGGGGGAAGAUGAUCCCCCCUCGCGUCUGUGUCGCCAGCAAAUUGCACACCCCAUGUUUUUUGCUCCCUGCCCUCACCGGCUUGGUGCAUCAUUGCAUCGUGACUGAAUGAAAAAUGAAAGCAUAAUGAGAAACAACUUUAGACAACGGAUCUCUUGGCUCUCGCAUCGAUGAAGAACGCAGC
Molecule: unclassified non-coding RNA, 463 nt
Filed under: uncultured fungus
Lineage: Eukaryota; Fungi
Description: partial contains small subunit ribosomal RNA, internal transcribed spacer 1, and 5.8S ribosomal RNA
Rfam family: Eukaryotic small subunit ribosomal RNA (bases 1-73)
Source: RNAcentral